Anguilla rostrata (American eel) is the source of this 2561-nucleotide long non-coding RNA. RefSeq lists it as uncharacterized. NCBI's taxonomy places the organism in Eukaryota, Metazoa, Chordata, Actinopteri, Anguilliformes, Anguillidae. The transcript is spliced from 2 exons. The record is from RefSeq and is a predicted model, not a curated record.
AAUCUCAGGAAAGCGAUGGUUGGAGUGAGUCUCGCCUUCCCCUUUCCCAUUACACUGGAAGCUAUCCCAGAAAUGUCACGAAAGCAGCAACAGCCUGCGCGCCCUACGCCAGGGAGGAACACGGAUCAACCGCUGGAGGAGGAAUUUUGGACAGGCGCGUUCCGUGAUCCUGAAGGAGCGCGCUGCUGCUUGGCUCGCGUCCGGGUCCGAGGAAAGGACAGCACAAGGAGACGCGCGUGUUCCGCAGAGCACGGACGCCGCCGCUCGCGGCCUCGGUGAAAAAAUAACGUAAUUGGAAACAUCGGCUCUGCUCGGCUGGCGUGUCGCACAGCGCGGUCGAGGUGGGAAAAAAAGCUUCGGCAAGCGAAUAUUUUGCUUUCGUUGUUCGCGGGACCGGACGUGGAGCGUCGCCCUGCCUCACGACAGAACGACAGAUUUCGAGAGAAGGAAGAAACUGGCCGCGUGUCACUACAUUACGGCAAAAAUAUUUAACGGAUUGCUUUCAUCUGUUUUUAUAAGCUUUUUGGUUCUCUGAACCGUUCUCUAGCUUGCCCUACUGGGCUGUAAAGUCAAACAGCGUAUUAAGGUGCUGUGUAAUGCACAGUAGUAGUCAGGGAACCAAAUAUAUAAUAAGGUUUGUUACUGAAUACUGCUUGUGUACAGCCCUACCAUUAAUGAUGCUGCAUUGCUAAAAAUGAAUAUUAAGUAGCUGGUGCAGGCAGCCCCCCACUAACCAGAGCAUGCCCCCCCUUCCUCCCCAAAACUGAGGGGGAUCGUAUGAACAGGCGAGGCAGGCAAAUAACUGGGGCCUGGAGCACUGAAUUCCCCUUACUGCUCAACUUUUAUUCCAACGACAAAUAUUCAUUUUGGAAACCAUCAGGGUCAUUGCCUGUCUCUGAGAAUUUGUACAGAAUUUGUAUUCAACUGUACAAUCGAAACUUUUGGCUUGGCCGUGAGCAAAACAUUAAAAAAAAAACAUGUUGAAGGCUUUGACUUUGGCCAUGUUGAACAAAAAAACAAUCUUUCUUGGAAAAGAUAUAUCAAACUCGAUUGUCUAUCGAAGGCUAGCCAUUGUGUGUUUAAAAACCACAGAUCAUCUCUGGCAAGGUCUUUUUUCAUUGUAGACUUAAGUUAAGAAACCAGAUGUGACUUCUUUCAUUGCUGGAAGCUCAGAGGACUCUUUUUUCCAAAUAUACUUUCCGUGUAUAUUAAAGGUUGUUGCUUUCAACAAAAAUAAGUAUUACCAAGACCGGCCAUUGACAGUAACUAGGUGGCAGUUGUUUUUUAAAAAGUCAUACAAAACAAUAUCUAUUUUAGUGACUAUAAAUAAAGCAUACCUGCCUCCAACCUUUGGAAAAUGUACCAAGUGAGCCAAGGAGGACCGAGCCAGUGUAAAUAUAAUGAUAUAUAUUUGGAAUAAACACAUGGCAAAAAAUAGACACCUGAAUUUUCUAUUUUGUGAGUUCAUACUGGCCUGUUUCCAAAAAAGACAGCGGUACUUUUCCAAAUCCUCGCCUGAUAGUGCCAGAAGGAGCAAGAUGCAUUCUUAAAAGAAAAUGGAGAUACUGUAUCUAAGGAGCACAGCUGACUUUACCCAGGACUCCACAUUUAUUUUCACACAUAUAUAUUUAUAUAUUUAUACAUGCAUUAUUUUCACACAUAUAUGAAGUAUUAUUUAUUUUCCACAUUUUACUUAAACUUCAAGUGCCCACAGUCAGUAUUUAGGAAACGGCUACUGCAGCUUGGUUUUGCACCUAUUUAUUUAUUUAUUUUUUUACAAGUCUUUAGUAUAAAUAGUCUCUGUUCUGUUUUUCUGGGCAGGUAAAGACGGGGAAGGGGAUUUUGUUUAACCUCUGCGGUUGGUCGUCCAAACAGCGGCCUUCGGCAGUGUGGGGGUGGGAACCCAAUUUUGGAGAGUGAUAGCCUCUCUCUCACUUGCAGAUCUCCUCGUUGGGCUUAUCUGGAGAGCAGAAUUAAUCCAACCUUCAUCAGCCCUUUACUCUCUCCUGACUGUCUAUAGGGUCUCCAUACAGGCUGUUCCAAUUUCGGCCUCCUGCCGGCAUCCCCCCCGCCCAGUUCCGACAGAUGGUUCGCUCCAGUUUCUACCCACUUCCUGUUGUGAAGCCCUUGGCACUGUACCGUACCAAAGAAACGUCCCCUAAAGGGGAAUCUUUGCCUCUACGCUCCCUUUAUGACAUCAUAAGCCUUGAUGCUUCCCUCCCUCCCUCUCCCAGGUGUGCUGAGGUUCUGAGGUGUUCUUGCUGCGGUCGGGAGCGAGACCCGGCGGCCGGAUUCCUUUCUCGCACGCAGCCGUUUCCUGAGCGAGAAGCGGGGCCACAGAGGAGGAGCGGGUUCGAGGUGUCGGUUGUCUGCAGUCGGCAGUAGGGCGGGUGCUGGCGAUGGAGAUGGCCGGGAGGGAUCCUCGUAGCGCAUUACGACUCGCUUCGUGUUUGUGCGUCCAAAAAUGAUCAUAUUUCACACCUUAUUUUUCUUCACACACAUUAUCAACAUUUGCUGACACCCUGUCAUAACAUGUGAACCACAGCUUACAGUAUACAAAA